GAUUCUCUUUUUUGAAAGGGAAAUUGGUGGGGUGAGUCCAGCCAAUGCAGAUUUAAGCAUCUAUUUUACAUUUUUGUUCUUUCAUGAAAAACGACAUCACCAUUUGAUUCUCACCGACCUUAACCAUCAGAUCGAAAGUUGUUCUUCAUCGACCUCAAGGGUUGAGGUAGUAGUGAACGUGCAUACAUGAUGACACACACAAGGUUCUUUUUCUAUUUAUAUUACAUAGUCUGAUGAUCCAUUAAUCUUCCCCUUUGGUGUAAUUGGCAAAGAUGCCGUGUUUUCCUUUA
This is a long non-coding RNA of Tarenaya hassleriana, 290 nucleotides long. RefSeq lists it as uncharacterized. The record is from RefSeq and is a predicted model, not a curated record. The transcript has 2 exons. NCBI's taxonomy places the organism in Eukaryota, Viridiplantae, Streptophyta, Magnoliopsida, Brassicales, Cleomaceae.